Molecule: ribosomal RNA, 688 nt
Filed under: uncultured fungus
Lineage: Eukaryota; Fungi
Description: eukaryotic LSU rRNA
Rfam family: Eukaryotic large subunit ribosomal RNA
Source: RNAcentral
UUCUCUCGCUAUAGGGUCUUGGUCGUNACUUGCUAGUAACCCCNANUUUUUUAUUAGGUNGACCUCGGAUCAGGUAGGGAUACCCGCUGAACUUAAGCAUAUCAAUAAGCGGAGGAAAAGAAACCANCAGGGAUUNCCUCAGUAACGGCGAGUGAAGCGGUAACAGCUCAAAUUUGAANUCUCCCUUCCGGGCGAGUUGUAAUUUGUAGAAGAUGCUUUGGGUAUGGCCCCGGUCUAAGUCCGUUGGAACACGGCGUCAUAGAGGGUGAGAAUCCCGUAUGUGACUGGGUGCUUUUGCCUAUGUAAAGCUCUUUCGACGAGUCGAGUUGUUUGGGAAUGCAGCUCAAAAUGGGUGGUAUAUUUCAUCUAAAGCUAAAUAUUGGCCAGAGACCGAUAGCGCACAAGUAGAGUGAUCGAAAGAUGAAAAGCACUUUGGAAAGAGAGUUAAACAGUGCGUGAAAUUGUUGAAAGGGAAGCGCUUGCAACCAGACUUGCACGCUGUUGAUCAUCCAGGCUUCUGUUUGGUGCACUCGACUGCGUUCAGGCCAGCAUCGGUUUUGGUGGUUGGAUAAAGGCCUUGGGAAUGUAGCUUCUUUCGGGGAGUGUUAUAGCCCUCGGUGCAAUGCAGCCUACCGGGACCGAGGACCGCGCUUCGGCUAGGAUGCUGGCGUAAUGGUUGUAAGCGACC